Long non-coding RNA from Tetranychus urticae (two-spotted spider mite), 2423 nucleotides. RefSeq lists it as uncharacterized. NCBI's taxonomy places the organism in Eukaryota, Metazoa, Arthropoda, Arachnida, Trombidiformes, Tetranychidae. The record is from RefSeq and is a predicted model, not a curated record.
AAACAAUUAAAAAUGAAUAAUUGUUGAAAGAAUGGAGUGUCCAUUAUCCAAAAUCCAAUGUGGGAUUAAAAUUAUCGAUCUAACUAUUAGAUCCAUCCAGUAUCGGAUUGUAUCAUUUAUAACAUCAUAUGUAACGUGAAUAUCUUGAUUAAUGGUUAACUCACGUUUUUCAUUAAUUUAUUAUCUUAUAGUUUAUUUUUAAAAAUAACUGUCUUCUGAGUGUCAGUGAAUGGAUUUAACAAUAACAAAUCAACUUUAUAAUUUUUUGACUCCGAAUGAAGUCAACAAUAAGAUGAUGGUGAUGAAUGGUGCACCAGCUCUUGAUGGUGGCUCUAAUUGUUGAUAAUUAUGGGCUAUAUGAGGUUGAUAUUUCCCAUUCCUCUGUGGUUUAUAUUACAUUAACAAGAUACUUGGUCAUUUUGUUAACUACAACUAUGAAUUGAAUCGUAAUUUUGAUAAAGCUUUAUAACCAAAGGAAAUGUUGAGCCUACUUUUGAGGGUUACUCUUUGUUACAUUUCAAUCCUUUUCAAUUUAUUGUGUUUGCUGUUGAAUACAUUUGGAUGGACUUUUCUGCUCUACAUCUGAUUAACUUUUCUCAUACGCUCAGAAUACAGUGAACAUGAAUGGACCAUGAUGAAAUGAAAACAUCAAGAGGAAAGGCCCAACAUUUUUUUCACCCUAAAUUGGAAUUGAGUAGUGUACAAAACGAAUAAAAGCCAUUUUGGUUUCCCUACUGGACAACGAAUGUUUCCUCUUCUUUUUUUGGACAUUUUCCCUUCUCUUUUCUUGUUUCAACGAUACUCAUCAUAUCUCUCUUUUGAUGGCAAAGUCAUUACCAUUGCUGCUUAGCAAAGUUACAUUUUUGGGACUAAAUGGAUGAAACAAGAUGAAAAAAUGUUAUUCUUCACUCCAAAGCAAACUGUUGGAUUGUUUCUUGGUACAAAAUUUCCGGUUCAUGAAAGAUAAAAAAAUAUUCUUCAUCUCUACAUUACGAUAACAGCAAAGCUGACAUACAAACAAACGAGUAAAAAAGAGGACCCAAAAAAAGCUCUUCUAUUAUAUUCACAUUCAUGUUGAUUUCGGUGCUGCCUUUUCAAUAAAUUACCAGAUGAACAAUUACACUUUGGGUAUCAACAUUUUCCAUGGAUUCAUUAAAAAUCAUGAGCAUGGUCUGGUUGGGUCUGGAAAGACUGGAUAACAUUUGACAUUAUCAUCUUCAUUCUCUGUCAAUGGUUCAAAUUAAAUAUUUUUUUACAUGGAAAAAUUGUUAUACCGAAAAACAAAAGCAGAGAGAACAGAGAAAGCCUAUGAAAGACUCAUGAAAGAUGAAAUUCAGAAUUAAGAUCAAGAUGUUGAUAAUGUUGGAUGAAAAAAAAGCCUUUUGGACACAUUGGACUCAUCAUCUUCCCCAUGCUUAUUAUCUUCAUUAUCACAUUAUAGGAUUCAUCGUAAACUUGUUCAUUGUCAUCAAUGUUCAACUCAUGGGCAAGGUCAAAGAAACACUUUCGGAUGGCAAACUUUUCUUUCGUCUUAAUUGAACCUAAAAUUGUUGAACUGUUUGACUGUUUUUAUUUCCGUUUUACAUUAACCAUGAGUGAAUCAUGAUUUAAAAGCAUUAUCGUCAUCAAAAUCAGCAAAGAUCAACAAUUAAAGGUUAAAGUUAACAGUGUUCAAGCUAGUGAGAAAUAAUUGACUCGAGAUGGCUCAAGAUUGAUUACUUCAAUUAGAUUAUCACAAUUUACCUCUGAUUUAAUGAGUGCGUAUUGGACAGGUUAUCAUCAGAAUAUUUUUCAAUAUCAGUCUUGAAUGUCAUUCAAACUGUUAUGAUAUUAAUAUUAUUGAAAAUGCCAUGAAAAAAUUACAAAAAUCUUUUCGCUAGUUAUUUUUGCUUCAUGCUUUCUGAUUUAAUGUUCAGUCAACUGUAAUUUUUCAUUGUAACACAUUUACAAACAAUCUUUUGUUGUAUUUUAAAUUUUCUUGCCUACAAUUUAGUUAACUUAAGCACAGAGGUUUGCAUAAUCAAACAAUAAUAAUUGCCUCAAUGUUUAACAAUUAAUAAUUAUGAUAAUAAUAGCUUGAUGUAAUGAUAUACAGAGAAAAGGUUAAACAAUUUUUUUGAUGCUAAAAAACUGAUUGAUGUUAUUGUUUGCUCAGUAAAACAUUGUCUUCCCUGAUUGUUGAUGAACGUUAUUGUAUCCUAAUUACCCGAAACUUUCAGGUUAAUCUAUUUCUUAUCUCAUCAUCUUCAAAAAUUGUAAUCAAUGAAUGUUUAAUCGAUAAUCUGAAGCAAGGUAAACACACAGAGGAGUAAAUAAAUCACAGGUUAAUAACAGUAAAGAAUUGCAAGAAUGGGAUGAAUUUUCAAUGUUUACCUUAACAACAAAUAAUCUUAACAGACACGAAAUAAAAAUCUCAAUCUUUA